AGUCAAUCAACCUGGUAAUCAGCAGACAACUUACUAAUUAUUUACACAUCUUGAUACAAUAGAAUGCAAGCACCUGAUUCGUAAAAUAAGGAUGUAGAACCUCUAGAAGGGAGAGCAGGAUACUCCAAUUGGCUGAAUGUGGGAGGAAUAUAACAUUUCGAAAUGCACCUGAGUUCUUGGGGCAUCGUUCAUUUGAUUUGUACUCACUUGAGGGUUCCGGCGUAUAUAUAGACAUAUGUAUGGACACACCAACGAAGUAUUGUGUUCUCACUUGAAUUUUGGUUGCUCCAAACACUUCUAAAGAAUCAACUACCCUGAAUCAUAUAUGAAAUCAAUAAGUACACGUGACACAAAGUAUCUGACAUAAUAGUUUUUUAGUUACAGAAGUAAGAAAUUCAGCCUGCAUCUUAAAUACAAAAAUGAUAUCUGAAUUAUCGUCCUAAGUGUCACUCUCAGCUAUCAAUACAAACAGAUUGAAAAAAGAUACAGAGAUAAUAUGGCACAGUAGACGCCUUUGGUACAAGUUACUAAUCUAUUUCUUCAUUUCUUUUGCGGUGGUGACGCUAGUUCUAGGUGUGACCUAUACAACUGAUGUGUCAAUAUGGCACCAACAAAACAUGCUGAGACUCAUGCACAGUUCAAAUUUAAACAUUGCUUCUAUCUAACCCAGAUAUCAAUGACCACACCUAUUUUUGUAGGAAGGCUACUUCUUUAGCAUGUGAUAGACCUUUUGAUAAAAGUUCCCUAAUAACUGCUUCCCAAAUACGCUGGCCUCUGAAGAAGAAAGUGGUGCCUUCCUGCAUUGAUCACAGAGGAUCAUCACUCAGGAUAUCAGAUAUCUGCUAAGGAACUGAACUGUAUGAAGUAGGAAUUGACAAGCAAGUUACAGAAGGUUCCGCCAACCUGAAAUUCAUCUCCGACGUUUCCAGAAAAUGACACACCAUCACAGUAUCUUCACUUUAAUUAUAAAAAUCUGCAGGUCCAAAUGACUAUUUCUCAGCAGAUGUCAAAGUGUAGUGCCUAUAUCACUACAGACUGAAUCAAAAAGAUCGCUCACACAUAAAAAGGGAUUCCUAAAAUCCACCCAGAACAGCAAGAUAUUAUUCCAUCUCAAACAAAAUUGAACAAUAGGUCUAUAGCUCAUUAUUACAACAAACUCGACUGCCAUACAAAAUAACAGGCUACAACAAAUUUUGUGACAGAAGCUAGAAAGUAGAAAUCUUACAUCUUUUUCAAAGAUCUGGCGGUUGUUGGCUUGGAGCUCCUGAACCUGCUUUUCGCAUACAGUGCAGGUCAAAUCUCAGCCUCUUGUCAUAGUCACAGUAUGAUCUCCCCUGAAAUCCUCCUCACGGGC
RNAcentral lists this long non-coding RNA (1354 nucleotides) under Triticum aestivum (bread wheat). RNAcentral's name for it is "long non-coding RNA (TAES_LNC004235)". The record is from RNAcentral. Lineage: Eukaryota; Viridiplantae; Streptophyta; Magnoliopsida; Poales; Poaceae.